CCUACGGGAGGCAGCAGUGGGGAAUAUUGGACAAUGGGCGAAAGCCUGAUCCAGCAAUGCCGCGUGAGUGAUGAAGGCCUUAGGGUUGUAAAGCUCUUUUACCAGGGAUGAUAAUGACAGUACCUGGAGAAUAAGCUCCGGCUAACUCCGUGCCAGCAGCCGCGGUAAUACGGAGGGAGCUAGCGUUGUUCGGAAUUACUGGGCGUAAAGCGUACGUAGGCGGUUAUUCAAGUCAGAGGUGAAAGCCUGGAGCUCAACUCCAGAACUGCCUUUGAAACUAGAUAGCUAGAAUCUUGGAGAGGUGAGUGGAAUUCCGAGUGUAGAGGUGAAAUUCGUAUAUAUUCGGAAGAACACCAGUGGCGAAGGCGACUCACUGGACAAGUAUUGACGCUGAGGUACGAAAGCGUGGGGAGCAAACAGGAUUAGAUACCCUGGUAGUCCACGCCGUAAACGAUGAUAACUAGCUGUUCGGGCUCUACGAGCUUGUAGUGCGCAGCUACGACAUUAAGUUAUACCGCCGUCGGGAGGUACGGUCGCGAAGAAUUAAAACUUAAAAUUAAGUAAGUUAGUACGGACGUGAGACGUAGCCGAACGGACGACGACGAAGGGAGGUAGGAG
Molecule: ribosomal RNA, 618 nt
Filed under: uncultured bacterium
Lineage: Bacteria
Description: bacterial SSU rRNA
Rfam family: Bacterial small subunit ribosomal RNA (bases 1-519)
Source: RNAcentral